Molecule: non-coding RNA, 29 nt
Filed under: Mus musculus (house mouse)
Lineage: Eukaryota; Metazoa; Chordata; Mammalia; Rodentia; Muridae
Source: RNAcentral
UCCAGCUGAUAGGAUGCCUGUAUCCUUCU